RNAcentral lists this ribosomal RNA (500 nucleotides) under uncultured Glomeromycotina. RNAcentral's name for it is "partial small subunit ribosomal RNA". It matches the Rfam family "Eukaryotic small subunit ribosomal RNA", at positions 591 to 1092 of the family's 1831-position model. The record is from RNAcentral. Lineage: Eukaryota; Fungi; Glomeromycota.
CCAAUAGCGUAUAUUAAAGUUGUUGCAGUUAAAAAGCUUGUAGUUGAAUUUCGGGAUCAAUUUAUUGGUCGUACCUUUGGUACGUACUGAUUUUAUUGGUUUCUCCCUUCUGACGAACUAUGAUGUCAUUAAUUUGGUGUCAUGGGGAAUCAGGACUGUUACUUUGAAAAAAUUAGAGUGUUUAAAGCAGGCUCACGCUUGAAUAUAUUAGCAUGGAAUAAUGAAAUAGGACGUUUAAUUCUAUUUUGUUGGUUUCUAGGAUUGACGUAAUGAUUAAUAGGGAUAGUUGGGGGCAUUAGUAUUCAAUUGUCAGAGGUGAAAUUCUUGGAUUUAUUGAAGACUAACUACUGCGAAAGCAUUUGCCAAGGAUGUUUUCAUUAAUCAAGAACGAAAGUUAGGGGAUCGAAGACGAUCAGAUACCGUCGUAGUCUUAACCAUAAACUAUGCCGACUAGGGAUCGGAUGAUGUUGAUUUUUUAAUGACUCAUUCGGCGCCUUACG